RNA transcript from Otolemur garnettii (small-eared galago), 1560 nucleotides. It is a transcript of the gene named actin like 6B, with no coding region annotated. Lineage: Eukaryota; Metazoa; Chordata; Mammalia; Primates; Galagidae. The record is from RefSeq and is a predicted model, not a curated record. The transcript has 14 exons.
CGCCGCGCGCCCCUCCCCGCCCGGGAUCCCGGGAGCUGUCCGGCCACCUCGGUGCUGAUCCCGCCGCCGCCCAAGGGCCGCGAGCCGUGCAGAGAGGGCACUAUGAGCGGGGGUGUCUACGGCGGAGAUGAGGUGGGGGCGCUGGUCUUUGACAUUGGCUCCUUCUCAGUCCGCGCUGGGUAUGCUGGGGAGGACUGUCCCAAGGCUGACUUCCCCACCACAGUGGGGCUGCUGGCCGCAGAGGAGGGGGGCGGGCUGGAACUGGAGGGGGAGAAAGAGAAGAAAGGGAAGAUCUUCCACAUUGACACCAAUGCCCUGCAUGUGCCUCGGGAUGGAGCGGAGGUCAUGUCACCUCUCAAGAAUGGCAUGAUCGAGGACUGGGAGUGCUUCCGAGCCAUCCUGGAUCACACCUACAGCAAACACGUCAAGUCUGAGCCAAACUUGCACCCAGUGCUCAUGUCCGAGGCUCCGUGGAACACACGGGCCAAGAGGGAAAAGCUGACAGAGCUGAUGUUCGAGCAAUACAACAUUCCUGCCUUCUUCUUAUGCAAGACUGCUGUGCUCACUGCCUUUGCAAAUGGGCGCUCCACAGGGCUUGUGCUGGACAGUGGUGCCACUCACACCACGGCCAUUCCAGUGCACGAUGGCUACGUCCUGCAGCAAGGCAUUGUCAAGUCACCCCUGGCAGGGGACUUCAUCUCCAUGCAGUGUCGGGAGCUCUUCCAGGAAAUGGCCAUUGACAUCAUCCCCCCCUAUAUGAUUGCAGCGAAGGAACCUGUACGAGAGGGAGCCCCCCCAAACUGGAAGAAGAAAGAGAAGCUACCCCAGGUCUCCAAGUCCUGGCAUAACUACAUGUGCAAUGAGGUGAUUCAGGACUUCCAGGCCUCGGUACUGCAGGUCUCAGACUCCCCCUACGAUGAGCAGGUGGCAGCACAGAUGCCCACAGUGCAUUAUGAGAUGCCCAAUGGCUACAACACAGAUUAUGGGGCUGAGCGGCUCCGCAUCCCUGAGGGCCUGUUUGAUCCCUCCAACGUCAAGGGUCUCUCUGGGAACACCAUGUUAGGUGUGGGGCACGUGGUGACUACUAGUAUUGGCAUGUGUGACAUUGACAUUCGCCCGGGACUCUAUGGCAGUGUCAUUGUCACUGGUGGAAAUACACUGCUGCAGGGCUUCACUGACAGGCUCAAUCGAGAGCUUUCACAGAAGACCCCACCGCCCCUUUUUACCCACAGAGCAUGAGACUGAAGCUCAUUGCCAGCAACAGCACCAUGGAGCGCAAGUUCAGCCCCUGGAUUGGGGGCUCCAUCUUGGCCUCACUGGGCACUUUCCAGCAGAUGUGGAUUUCCAAGCAGGAAUACGAGGAGGGCGGGAAGCAGUGCGUGGAGCGGAAGUGCCCCUGAGAGCAUCCCCUCCCCACACACUGGGGUGUUAUACCCGCCGGGCCUCCACAGGCUCAGAUCGAAGCCCUCCACCCCCAAGUCUACAUCACCCCCCUCCUUUUUCUCUCUCCUCUUCUUAAGUUGUGAUGUUUCUGGAUUGAAAGAAGUAAAAAGGUUUUAA